Molecule: long non-coding RNA, 942 nt
Organism: Mus musculus (house mouse)
Lineage: Eukaryota; Metazoa; Chordata; Mammalia; Rodentia; Muridae
Product: predicted gene, 30911
Exons: 3
Source: RefSeq, a predicted model, not a curated record
AACAUAGACGGCAUCCAUUGUCAUCACUGCUGGGAACUCUGCCGCCUGGAAUUCUAGGGCAGCUAGGACACCAACCUUGACAGGAACUGCUCACUACCCCUAUAGCCAAGAAAAGAAAAAUGGGGGCUGGCUUAGACUGUCCUUCAAGCUAGCUGACUGCUGGCCAGCACUCUGAGUCAUGCAGCCUUUGUCCUGGAGGAUGGAAAACACCAGCUGAUCUGGCAUCCCCCCAACCUGCUUUCAGCAGGAACGCUGUGAGCUUGGUGACCCUGGCACCUCCUCUUGGCAACUUCGCACACCAAUCCAACAGCUCUGGUGGGAACUCCUGCUGCAUGAGCUACGCCUGGAAUCUCCCUUCUCCCUGCGAGACUCCAUCAUGGCACACCCACUGAAGACCUGAAUAAAGGCUGCCCUACUGUGCUUCAGCACACACCAUCAAAAAGGUGGUAGCCGCCAUGAAUUAAAGUGGGGAAAUUUGGAGGUGGGCGAUCAAGGGUGGGAGUAUCAAGAAGGUAGAUUAAACUAGUGUUCCACCCUCCCCCACAUUAUAGGAUACCCGCAACACUAUCCUUGCAAGCCACUGUAAACACUUGACGGAAGCCACUGAAGGCUCUGAGACUAGAAGGAUCUAUUCUGGCUACACUGUUGCAACUAGAAUCCAAGCAGUGAAAAGCCAAGGGUGGGGGCCAGAGAGAGACAAGAAACAGAAGAGCAGCAGUUUGUUUGAAUCCAAAAGGUCUGACAGCCUAUGUUUUGAAUCCUUUUCCUCCUGGAUGUUUGGAGGUUGUAGAAACUUUCACAGGCAGGCAGUUUGCAGGGGCGGGCCUUCGGAGGUGAUUGACACCUGCCCUGCUUGGCCUGGCUCUGUACUUUGUUUUCUGUUCUGCCUUCUUGAGAAGCCAAGCACUUCCCUACCCUACCACCUCAACCCCUGCAAUCCCA